AGUGAACGCUGGCGGUAGGCCUAACACAUGCAAGUCGAACGGCAGCACAGUAAGAGCUUGCUCUUACGGGUGGCGAGUGGCGGACGGGUGAGGAAUACAUCGGUAUCUACUUUUUCGUGGGGGAUAACGUAGGGAAACUUACGCUAAUACCGCAUACGACCUACGGGUGAAAGCAGGGGAUCUUCGGACCUUGCGCGAUUGAAUGAGCCGAUGUCGGAUUAGCUAGUUGGCGGGGUAAAGGCCCACCAAGGCGACGAUCCGUAGCUGGUCUGAGAGGAUGAUCAGCCACACUGGAACUGAGACACGGUCCAGACUCCUACGGGAGGCAGCAGUGGGGAAUAUUGGACAAUGGGCGCAAGCCUGAUCCAGCCAUACCGCGUGGGUGAAGAAGGCCUUCGGGUUGUAAAGCCCUUUUGUUGGGAAAGAAAAGCAGCAGGUUAAUACCCCGCUGUCCUGACGGUACCCAAAGAAUAAGCACCGGCUAACUUCGUG
RNAcentral lists this ribosomal RNA (492 nucleotides) under uncultured bacterium. RNAcentral describes it as "partial 16S ribosomal RNA". It matches the Rfam family "Bacterial small subunit ribosomal RNA", at positions 29 to 507 of the family's 1533-position model. The record is from RNAcentral.